AUUGAACGCUGGCGGCAGGCCUAACACAUGCAAGUCGAGCGGAUGAAGGGAGCUUGCGCCUGGAUUCCGCGGCGGACGGGUGAGUAAUGCCUAGGAAUCUGCCUGGUAGUGGGGGAUAACGUCCGGAAACGGGCGCUAAUACCGCAUACGUCCUGCGGGAGAAAGUGGGGGAUCUUCGGACCUCACGCUAUCAGAUGAGCCUAGGUCGGAUUAGCUAGUUGGUGGGGUAAAGGCCUACUAAGGCGACGAUCCGUAACUGGUCUGAGAGGAUGAUCAGUCACACUGGAACUGAGACACGGUCCAGACGCCUACGGGAGGCAGCAGUGGGGAAUAUUGGACAAAGGGCGAAAGCCUGAUCCAGCCAUGCCGCGUGUGUGAAGAAGGUCUUCGGAUUGUAAAGCACGUUAAGUUGGGAGGAAGGGCAGUAAGUUAAUACCUUGCUGUUGUGACGGUACCAACAGAAUAAGCACCGGCUAACUUCGUG
RNAcentral lists this ribosomal RNA (484 nucleotides) under uncultured bacterium. RNAcentral describes it as "partial 16S ribosomal RNA". It matches the Rfam family "Bacterial small subunit ribosomal RNA", at positions 30 to 507 of the family's 1533-position model. The record is from RNAcentral.